Molecule: ribosomal RNA, 250 nt
Filed under: uncultured prokaryote
Description: partial 16S ribosomal RNA
Rfam family: Bacterial small subunit ribosomal RNA
Source: RNAcentral
UACGGAGGAUGCGAGCGUUAUCCGGAUUUAUUGGGUUUAAAGGGUGCGUAGGCGGGUCGGCAAGUCAGCGGUGAAAUGUCGGGGCUCAACUUCGGAAUUGCCGUUGAUACUGCUGGUCUUGAAUACGGUCGAGGCAGGCGGAAUGUGUAAUGUAGCGGUGAAAUGCUUAGAUAUUACACAGAACACCUAUUGCGAAGGCAGCUUGCUAGGCCGGGAUUGACGCUGAGGCACGAAAGCGUGGGGAUCGAAC